Molecule: small nuclear RNA, 133 nt
Organism: Heterocephalus glaber (naked mole-rat)
Lineage: Eukaryota; Metazoa; Chordata; Mammalia; Rodentia; Bathyergidae
Gene: U2
Rfam family: U2 spliceosomal RNA
About the family: U2 is a small nuclear RNA (snRNA) component of the spliceosome (involved in pre-mRNA splicing).
Source: Ensembl
UUUGCUUCUCGGCCUUUUGGCUGAGAUCAAGUGUAGUAACUGACACAAAAGCAAAGCACAUUUUUUACUGUUCAUUAGUGAAUAUUAGGUUGUUUCCACAUUGUACUCCAUAUUGUGAGUAAUGUUGCUAUGA